This 25-nucleotide non-coding RNA is filed under the name Mus musculus (house mouse). The record is from RNAcentral. Lineage: Eukaryota; Metazoa; Chordata; Mammalia; Rodentia; Muridae.
GAGGUUGUGGAAGAGUAAAGUUUUU